RNAcentral lists this unclassified non-coding RNA (1106 nucleotides) under Hevea brasiliensis (rubber tree). Lineage: Eukaryota; Viridiplantae; Streptophyta; Magnoliopsida; Malpighiales; Euphorbiaceae. The record is from RNAcentral.
AGUCAUUUCUGUCAUUGCUGUUGAGAUUUUGGCUUAUACUUGGAGAAGGUAUUGCACGCUAAGACCUCUAGGCAAAAGGGGAGAGGGGGGAGUGUGGGGGAUGAAGUCCCUUGUAAUAUGGUACAGUAUUGUUAACCUAAGAUGGUUCUAAUUAUAGGUGGUUAUUCUUGUAAUUUCAGGUUUCUCCUAUCCUAGUAUAAAAAGGAAACCCUGUACAAAGGUGAUUGUAAAGUUCUUCAUUGUUAAAAGUCGCAAGUGGCUUUGUGGACGUCGACUCAUUGCAAAACCACAAAAAAUUCCUUGUGCCAUAAUUUUUCUCUAUCUUCACUCUUUCUACAUUUGCUAUUCUUAUCAGUGUGCUUUGUGUGGGUUAUUUUAACAAUUGUACUCUUCUCUCUUGUUAAUAUUUCCUUUAUCAGGCACAUACACACAUAGAUGGGAUGCCAUUUGCAAAUGUUAAAAUUACAGCAUACUUUGGUGCUCUAGAGCUUUUUUUAAUUUUCAUGUGCUGUGGCAUUCCUUGGUUGAGGACAAGGUGCAUCGAACAUAAAAACUGGAGAUUACAAGAAUCUAUUUGUGAGGAAUUUCUGCUAUCUUCUAACAUCAUUCUGAUGUUCUUGGAAUGGGAAUGGCUUGAAUUUCUGUAACUUACUUUGUAGAUGCUUUAUGGCCUUCCCUGUGCUUGCUGAGUGCUGAUCAAAAUUGCUAUGAAUAGUUUUGCAAUUUCUUCAAUGUAGAAUGUAUCAUAUGGUAGUGAAGCAUCUGUAGUUCCCUUGCAGUUAAUAUUGUUUCCUUAAAUUUUAACAAGGCUCCUCUUCCAUUGAUCAAGGGCCUUGGACUAAAGUUUCAACUUCUGUGGUUGGACUCUGUGGUCUGGCUAGCAUCAAAUUUCUGUGCUUGGCCUGGCCUGAGUCCACCUAUAAGACACUACUAUACAUAAGAUAUUAACUCCUGCCUACUUCCAAGUUUUCAGCUUCUGUCUUAAGUGCUGAUAUGGGAUGUCUGUUUAUAUUCUAUUUAUCUUUUUAUGAAUAUUAACUUUUGUAACUUUAUUUAUUGAGGGUGUAUAUCCAUUGACAUGCAGGUGACAGCCUUGCAAUUUUGAG